RNAcentral lists this long non-coding RNA (1629 nucleotides) under Venturia canescens. RNAcentral's name for it is "uncharacterized LOC122412447, transcript variant X1". The record is from RNAcentral. Lineage: Eukaryota; Metazoa; Arthropoda; Insecta; Hymenoptera; Ichneumonidae.
UGAUUGUUAAUUUUAUUAAUAAUUUAGACUUAAAAUUAAUCAUAAAGUAGUUGCAAACUUGACUAGUCAUAGGACGGCCGAACUACUUUAAGGGCGUGAAAUAAUGGCCGAACGCGAACGAGCCACGUUCACAGAAGAAGUGUUGAUCGUGUCAAAUAGCGAUUAAAUGCCUAAUCGAGGAGAUUCCGUGAUGAAAAUGGCUGGACGACAUCUUGGAAGAGUGACUUUUAUUUAAAAAAAAACUCCGUUAAAUAGGAGGACGCAUGCUCAGCGGAUAUUUUAUUCGAACUAUAAAUGCUCAUGCGCUUUUCUUCUUUUUCAUAAAUUCUAUUAUUAUUUGAAUGUACCCUUGGUAUUGCGGAGAGCGUGGUGAGUUGGCUCGACUUGAAUCUUGAUGACAUCGUGGGUCGACGUUUCAUCGGCGUUCGUAGUUACCUUUUCGGAGGGUUCCUUCAAAACUGCAAGUGUUUCACUUGGCGACAUAACGUCUCACGAUUUUCGCAAAAUAGAGAGAAAAAAACGAUUCCGAAACGAAAAUGACGUCGCGGAGGGUCGAAAAAAUAAAAAAGGAACCUGAAGUCGGAUUGGAAGACUGAGAAACUAGCAAUUUAAUGCCCGAGUCUAGUUUCGAGAAGGACAAUCGAGACGAGGGAAAUCAGGGAGAAAAAAACGGUGAAAAAACUGCUUCCGAGUGUAAUUAAGGGAGAGAAUCGCUCGAAGGAAUCGACUGUGGCGGCCAAUCGACGGCGCACAAACGGACAAUAACGUCGUUGUACAAGAAGCUCUUUCACGAGAUAAAUAUUGACGUAGUGCCAGAGUAAAAAUCUCCACGAUCCGGCUUGUAAGUGGUUUUUGCUUGGCGUGAAUGACGCCGUAUUUUUCUGUUCCCGGUUUUUUAUAAUGGAAAACCCUCGAGAGGCCUCCAAUCUCAACGUUUUUGUAAUGGCAUAAUUGUUCUUCGGAUGAGUCGCAGUCACAACGAAAUGAUAAAUCACCAUCAUCGUGGGAAUCGUGAGUUUUGAAACAACGACAAAAAAAAAAUAGAAAAAAGCCGCAAGUUUUUUUGGUUCGACAUUACUUCGAUUAUUUUUUUUUUUUCGUUUCCUGUACUUUGCCCUGCCCGUGAGGCGAAGGUAACAUCCCGAAUAGAACGAGGUUUUAAUCGUCGAGCCAAGGCUCGGUCAGUCAAGCGACGAUGGCUUUCAAGUCCCACAAGCACAUCUACCAAUAUCAGCCGAUCUCGACGUCCAACGUGUUUUUUCAUCAUCGUGACUUACAGUCAAUGCCUGAAUGACGGAUUUGGAGUUAUUAUGAAACACUCGCGGGAGCGGAUCGAGGCAGGGAUUACUUUAUACCCAAAAUCGUGAAUAAAAAGCGAUCGCGCAGAUUCCGUCGGAUUUCACUCACGCGAUCUUAAUAACUUUAAGGGGGAAUAUCCGUGUGAAAAAAAAAGCUUGGAUGCAAAAGAGCUUUUGUAUGGUUCAGGAGUAGCAGACUAAUCGAUGCUUGCUGCAGCACUUAUGUUGUCAACCGUCGGGGAGUCUUUUUUUGAGACGCCAUUUCGCGAUCGCGCUUUUCUGCUUAAUAAAAUGUACUAAAAAUAAAAAUAAAAAUAUCUCAUAUACUCCA